UUGAAAAAUACGAAAAGAAGGAGGAGGAGGAUGUCAUCUCCUACAGCGGUACACUCGCCCACCCCAACUCGACGACAUCGUCCAAUACUCACAGUCAUCAUCCCUCCCUCCACCAUGCUGGAGAGGGUCCUCUCUCUGCGACGCACUACCCCUCACCCCGACGACUCCGUGGCCUCCGCCUCCGCCUCCACUGCCGACGACGAUGACGAAUCCAAGAUCAGGAAGCACCACCGUUUCUUCUUGCACGCCGCGACCCGGGCCUCCAAUUACCUCUCCCGAUUGAGUUGUCCCGCCUCCUACUGGGUUUUCGCCAUCUCGUUGCUUCUCCUUCUCUCCGUUUCCUCCUUGCUCUUUAGUUCGCGUGGCUUCGUGUGCGUGUCCUCUUCUUCCCCAUUUUCUCGGGUCGGCUUCUUCGCUUCGGACGUUCUUGAAUCCGAUUUCGGAGCUCUUGGCGUGCCCUGGUGCAGAUCGAAACAUGGUAAAACAGUUGAAUGGACGUCAAAAGAUCUGCUCAAGGGGUUGGAAGAAUUUGUUCCUAUAUAUGAAACGCGGCCAAUAAAAAAUAACUUGCAUGGGAUGGGUUUUGACCACAGCUUUGGGCUUUGGUUCAUUGCCAGAUGGCUGAAGCCUGAUCUGAUGAUUGAGAGUGGUGCUUUCAAAGGACAUUCAACUUGGGUUUUGCGUCAGGCCAUGCCAGAUACACCAAUUAUUUCACUUUCGCCCAGGCAUCCAGAGAAGUAUCUGAAAAAGGGACCUGCCUAUGUUGAUGGGAAUUGCACAUAUUUUGCUGGAAAGGACUUUGUGGAUUUUGGAAGUGUUAACUGGCUAAAAGAGAUGAAAAAACAUGGGAUUACUGACCUGAGUCGGGUUCUUGUGUUUUUUGAUGACCAUCAGAAUGAAUUGAAAAGAGUUAAACAAUCUCUGAAAGCUGGGUUUCUGCAUCUUGUCUUUGAGGAUAACUACGACACUGGAACUGGAGACCAUUAUUCAUUAAGGCAGAUAUGUGAUCAGUUUUAUAUUAGAGUGUUAUUAAAGGCGCUCGCCUCAGUGCCUAAGGUGCAAAGGCGAGGCGCUGAAUGUGGCCAUCGCCUCUCAAUGAAGAGAGGCGAUGGGUUUGGUCAGGCGCUCGCCUAAGAGCGCCUUGUGCACUUUGCAUGACCAAAAGGCACUCGGCUAAUAGCAACCUGAAGCAGUAGAGAAGAGAAGAUCGAGAUCAACAAGGACUGGGUAUUUGAGAAGCAAAGAUGACAAUUGGGACUGUGUGUUGCAGAAGAGAAGAUGAGGAAGAAGGACGACGCUGGUUCGGAAUAGAAGAGAAGACGAUUCAUCCACCGACUGGAUAUUGCGUGAUCGAUUGGGCAUUGCAAUCAUGAGUCACAAUUUUUAUAAAAAUGGAAGAUUUAUCCAUGGACUCGUGACUCAUAAGCGUGACUGGGCAGUGGGUAUUUCAAUAUUUUAUAUCAUAUUUUAAUAAAUAUGAUAUAAAUAUAGAAAGUUAUUAUAUGAUAUAAAAAAUAAAGAAACUUGUAUCAUAUAAGAAAAUAGGAAAGAUUUUAAUUUAUUAUAAGAAAUUAUUUUUGAUUGAAUUUUUAAAUAUGAUAAGAGAACACAAUUUCAUAUGAAGGUUUAAAUAAAUUUAUAUUUAUCAUUUUAUCUAUGGUUAGUUGGCUAUAUAUGUUGCAUUUUUACAUGGUAACACCUUGCUUGAUUCAAGCGUGCACCUUUCUAGCGCCUUGCGCCUAAAGCAUUUUAUAGGGUUUGUGUCUUGAGUGCGCCUUUUGCCUUUAACAACAAUGUGAUUUUUGGGACGGUUUGGCAUAGAGCAGUAAGAGUACUAGAGGGUCUGGGGUGUUAUAUCAGUUGUCAGAGAUAUUGAAGGAGUAAAAGAGACUAUGUUAUGUUUGAUUGUUUUGGUGGUUUGACCUAAGAGCAAUAGAAUGCCAGAAGAGGGACUGAGGUUUUGUAUCAGCCAUAUUGGGGAAAUAGAGACUAUCAAUUAAAUCCAAUGUGUCGAAGAUGAUCCCACCAUAGUGGAUGACAGUUCCAGCAUUCAGGGGUGAUCUUGACAUGCGGACUUGGGCAAAGGAACAAGCAAUAGGAGGCCACCACAAGCAUUGCAAUGGCAAGCCUGCUGAAAUCAAUAUCAUGAGGAUGCUCGCAAAAGCUGACACUCAGUCGCUAACAUCUGCUGGGGAACACCAGUGACAAAGUGGAGCAAAUCAGUGGUGUCGUGUAGAACUCCAUUUACCCAUGUUAAAGAAUUGGCACAGGCCCUGACAUCGCAAUUAGGGACAUUUUCUGUAGUCAAAGCGAGAGGGGGACACAGCUGCUUUAGAGACAGCGACGAAGCUAGGAUGAGAUCAAGGAAUAAGAAGUUCUGGGAAAAAGCAGUUGAUAUUGAAGAACUUUGUGGGCCAGGGGAAACAUGGUGGGGAGUUAGAGGGUACCUGCGU
Prosopis cineraria is the source of this 2453-nucleotide RNA transcript. RefSeq lists it as uncharacterized. The transcript is spliced from 5 exons. The record is from RefSeq and is a predicted model, not a curated record. NCBI's taxonomy places the organism in Eukaryota, Viridiplantae, Streptophyta, Magnoliopsida, Fabales, Fabaceae.